This 429-nucleotide ribosomal RNA is filed under the name Pseudomonadota bacterium. RNAcentral's name for it is "Proteobacteria bacterium partial 16S ribosomal RNA". It matches the Rfam family "Bacterial small subunit ribosomal RNA", at positions 355 to 776 of the family's 1533-position model. The record is from RNAcentral. Lineage: Bacteria; Pseudomonadati; Pseudomonadota.
UGGGGAAUAUUGGACAAUGGGCGAAAGCCUGAUCCAGCCAUGCCGCGUGUGUGAAGAAGGUCUUCGGACUGUAAAGCACUUUAAGUUGGGAGGAAGGGCAGUAAGCGAAUACCUUGCUGUUUUGACGUUACCGACAGAAUAAGCACCGGCUAACUCUGUGCCAGCAGCCGCGGUAAUACAGAGGGUGCAAGCGUUAAUCGGAAUUACUGGGCGUAAAGCGCGCGUAGGUGGUUCGUUAAGUUGAAUGUGAAAGCCCCGGGCUCAACCUGGGAACUGCAUCCAAAACUGGCGAGCUAGAGUAGGGCAGAGGGUGGUGGAAUUUCCUGUGUAGCGGUGAAAUGCGUAGAUAUAGGAAGGAACACCAGUGGCGAAGGCGACCACCUGGGCUCAUACUGACACUGAGGUGCGAAAGCGUGGGGAGCAAACAGG